AGAAUGCCAAGCCAGUUAAUACACCACUUGCAGCCCAUUUCAAGUUGAGCAAGCGUUGUUGUCCUACAACCGAGAAAGAAAAGGAAAGUAUGUCUCAUAUUCCUUACUCCUCUGUUGUUGGUUCAUUGAUGUAUGCCAUGGUGUGUACAAGACCGGAUAUAGCACAUGCUGUUGGAUUGGUUAGCAGAUACUUGGCAAAUCCGAG
This 205-nucleotide unclassified non-coding RNA is filed under the name Hevea brasiliensis (rubber tree). Lineage: Eukaryota; Viridiplantae; Streptophyta; Magnoliopsida; Malpighiales; Euphorbiaceae. The record is from RNAcentral.